UCAAAGUACUUAUUUAUAUAACUUAUCAAAAUAGAAAGAGCAUUAAAGAAUACAGCGAAAUCAGCUGCUACUUGUUACAUAACAGAAAAAAUAGUAGAAGAUUAGGUCAAGCUUAACAAACUUUGAUAACUUCAGUUCAGCAUGUGUUUUAUUAAACCUCAACACUUCUCAAACAUCAGUAGCCCACUCAUCUCCACGUCAGCAGCUCUUGGGACAUCAUUCAACACUAUUCUUUGGCUUUGGCGCUGCAGACUCAAGGCCUUUGCCUCAAGAACUCAUACCUAGCUUUGGAAAGUGUCUUGGUCAAGAUAUCAACAUUUUGAUUCUCUGUUUUGUAAUAAAUCACUCCUUCUCUUUGUACCUCUCCUAGAAAAUAGAGUUUCAGCUUGAAAUGUUUUGUUUUGCCAUGAAACACAAUUAAAAUUGUACCUUGGCCCGGCAGUCUACAAGUAUCUACGUGCUUU
RNAcentral lists this long non-coding RNA (464 nucleotides) under Populus trichocarpa (black cottonwood). Its description in RNAcentral is "long non-coding RNA (PTRI_LNC001692)". Lineage: Eukaryota; Viridiplantae; Streptophyta; Magnoliopsida; Malpighiales; Salicaceae. The record is from RNAcentral.